UGGGGAAUAUUGCACAAUGGGGGAGACCCUGAUGCAGCGACGCCGCGUGAGUGAAGAAGUCAUUCGUGAUGUAAAGCUCUAUCAGCAGGGAAGAAAAUGACGGUACCUGACUAAGAAGCCCCGGCUAACUACGUGCCAGCAGCCGCGGUAAUACGUAGGGGCAAGCGUUAUCCGGAUUUACUGGGUGUAAAGGGAGCGUAGACGGCAUAGCAAGUCCGGAGUGAAAGCCCGGGGCCCAACCCGGCAGCUGCUCUGAACUGAUUAUAGCUUGAGUGCGGGAGGGGCAGGCGGAAUUCCUGGUGUAGCGGUGAAAUGCGUAGAUAUCAGGAGGAACACCGGCGGCGAAGGCGGCCUGCUGGACCGUAACUGACGUUGAGGCUCGAAAGCGUGGGGAGCAAACAGGAUUAGAUACCC
Molecule: ribosomal RNA, 414 nt
Filed under: uncultured bacterium
Lineage: Bacteria
Description: bacterial SSU rRNA
Rfam family: Bacterial small subunit ribosomal RNA
Source: RNAcentral